This 207-nucleotide ribosomal RNA is filed under the name uncultured bacterium. Its description in RNAcentral is "partial 16S ribosomal RNA". It matches the Rfam family "Bacterial small subunit ribosomal RNA", at positions 568 to 774 of the family's 1533-position model. The record is from RNAcentral.
UGCGUAGGCGGCCCCGUGUGUCAGAGGUGAAAUCCCACGGCUCAACCGUGGAAUUGCCUUUGAAACUGCGGGGCUUGAGUCCGAGAGGGGAAGGUGGAAUUCCUGGUGUAACGGUGAAAUGUGCAGAUAUCAGGAAGAACACCCGUGGCGAAGGCGGCCUUCUGGCUCGGAACUGACGCUGAGGCACGAAAGCUAGGGUAUCGAACG